This 148-nucleotide ribosomal RNA is filed under the name uncultured bacterium. RNAcentral describes it as "partial 16S ribosomal RNA". It matches the Rfam family "Bacterial small subunit ribosomal RNA", at positions 1351 to 1500 of the family's 1533-position model. The record is from RNAcentral.
AGCAUGCCGCGGUGAAUACGUUCUCGGGCCUUGUACACACCGCCCGUCACACCAUGGGAGUCGGUAACACCCGAAGUCUGUAGCCUGACGCAAGAGGGCGCAGCCGAAGGUGGGAUUGAUGACUGGGGUGAAGUCGUAACAAGGUACC